GAUGAACGCUGGCGGCGUGCCUAAUACAUGCAAGUCGAGCGAACCGACGAGGAGCUUGCUCCUCUUACGUUAGCGGCGGACGGGUGAUUAACACGUGGAUAACCUCCCUAUAAGACUGGGAUAACUUCGGGAAACCGGAGCUAAUACCGGAUAAUAUAUUUAACCGCAUGGUUCAAUAGUGAAAGACGGUUUUGCUGUCACUUAUAGAUGGAUCCGCGCCGCAUUAGCUAGUUGGUACGGUAACGGCUUACCAAGGCAACUAUGCGUAGCCGACCUGAGUGAGUGAUCUGCCACACUGGACCUGAGACACGGUCCAGACUCCUACGGGAGGCAGCAGUAGGGAAUCUUCCGCAAUGGGCGAAAGCCUGACGGAGCAACGCCGCGUGAGUGAUGAAGGUCUUCGGAUCGUAAAACUCUGUUAUUAGGGAAGAACAAAUGUGUAAGUAACUAUGCACGUCUUGACGGUACCUAAUCAGAAAGCCACGGCUAACUACGUG
RNAcentral lists this ribosomal RNA (497 nucleotides) under uncultured bacterium. RNAcentral describes it as "partial 16S ribosomal RNA". It matches the Rfam family "Bacterial small subunit ribosomal RNA", at positions 28 to 507 of the family's 1533-position model. The record is from RNAcentral.